GACGAACGCUGGCGGCGUGCUUAACACAUGCAAGUCGAACGAGACCUUCGGGUCUAGUGGCGGACGGGUGCGUACGGCGUGGGAACCUGCCCUUAGGUUCGGAAUAAUUCCCCGAAAGGGGUGCUAAUACCGGAUAAUGUCAUCGGACCAAAGAUUUAUCGCCUUUGGGUGGGCCCGCGUUGGUUUAGCUAGUUGGUAGGGUAAAAGCCUACCAAGGCGACGAUCCAUAGCUGGUCUGGGAGGAUGAUCAGCCACACUGGGACUGAGACACGGCCCAGACUCCUACGGAAGGCAGCAGUGGGGAAUAUUGGACGCUGGGCGAAAGCCUAAUCCAGCAAUGCCGCGUGAGUGAUGAAGGCCUUAGGGUUGUAAAGCUCUUUUACCCGGGAUGAUAAUGACAGUACCGGGAGAAUAAGCUCCGGCUAACUCCGUG
RNAcentral lists this ribosomal RNA (433 nucleotides) under uncultured bacterium. Its description in RNAcentral is "partial 16S ribosomal RNA". It matches the Rfam family "Bacterial small subunit ribosomal RNA", at positions 28 to 507 of the family's 1533-position model. The record is from RNAcentral.